Molecule: ribosomal RNA, 775 nt
Filed under: uncultured Neocallimastigales
Lineage: Eukaryota; Fungi; Neocallimastigomycota; Neocallimastigomycetes; Neocallimastigales
Description: partial large subunit ribosomal RNA
Rfam family: Eukaryotic large subunit ribosomal RNA
Source: RNAcentral
UACGACUACAUAUCAGGCAUAUCAAUAAGCGGAGGAAAAGAAACUAACUAGGAUUCCCUUAGUAACGGCGAGUGAAGCGGGAAGAGCUCAAAUUUGAAAUCUUCAAGGGUUCUACCUUUACGAAUUGUAGUUUAAAGAAGUGUUUUCUGUUGGAGUUUUGGUAAAAGUUCUUUGGAAUAGGACAUCAUAGAGGGUGAGAAUCCCGUAUUUGACCAUUUCUUCCAGCUGUGUGAUACACUUUCAAAGAGUCGGAUUGUUUGGGAAUGCAGUCCAAAAUGGGUGGUAAAUUUCAUCUAAAGCUAAAUAUUGGCGAGAGACCGAUAGCGAACAAGUACCGUGAGGGAAAGAUGAAAAGAACUUUGAAAAGAGAGUUAAACAGUACGUGAAAUUGUCAAAAGGGAAGCGUUUGACACCAGUGUUGUUUUCUCGAAAAUCAAUUAAAAAUGACCGGAUUUUGUGUUGUAUUGACUUUAUCAGCUUUCUGCACUUUUUUCUUGUCUUUUUUAAUGCACUUUUCGUUUAACAAGUCAACAUCAAUUUCUUUUGUUGUAAAAGAGUCAUUGGAAGGUGGCUUUCACUUCGGUGAAAGUGCUUAUAGCCUUUGACUUCUGCAAUCGGAGAGAUUGAGGUCUGCAGCGUAGAUCCUUCGGGGUUAGAUACAUUUGUGCUAAGUUAUAGUUUUUCAUAGACAACAUGUUGACUAUGAUUAAUCAUGUAGCUUACUCGCUUAUGCUAUUUUACCUACGCUUAGGAUGUUGACGCGCGUGUGUGCGUG